Molecule: RNA transcript, 5988 nt
Organism: Anguilla rostrata (American eel)
Lineage: Eukaryota; Metazoa; Chordata; Actinopteri; Anguilliformes; Anguillidae
Exons: 14
Source: RefSeq, a predicted model, not a curated record
GGAACCCUGUGAUACCACUCUCGCAUUCUUUGCUUGCUGACAAGUGCACAACAUUCUCUCUCUCUCUCUCUCUCUCUCUCUCUCUCUCUCUCUCUCUCUCUCUCUCUCUCUCGCUCACUCUUUUUCUCUCCCCUUCUUGCACAUGCACACCGGCUCACAGAGGCACACAGAACACAACAAAUAUGUCAGAUUCUGAGAAAUUAGCUGUUGCUCAAGCUGAGGCUCCUGUACCUGCUCCCUGUCAAGCCAUCAAAGCGGACCUAGACAAAUGUGUGAAAGAGAAGGGAGUUGACGGAUGCAAAGAACUGAUGGAAGCUUUCCAGGCUUGUCUGAAGACUGCCGCUGAAAAGUCAUGAGGAGGACAGCCCAACACCUGACAAAUGUCCACUGCACUGAGUCCUCUGCUUUCCCAGCAUUCCCUCCUGAACAUUACACUGGACUAAAUCAUCUUUGGGAUUGGGAGAUGGGACAAAGGGUAACUGUGGGAAAUGCCCCAAUGAACCUGAAAUGCAGUCUUCCUUUUCUUUUGUAGCUGAUUACUCUGGUUGUUAUGCCCUGCCAGAAAACCCCAUAGAUUUUAAAUGUAAAUUGUCUCGCGACACAUACAUAUUACAAUCAAAAUAAACUUGUAAAAAUUGUAAAAAAAAAAAUUCUGGCAUUGCGGUUACAGUGAAAACCAAUUCUGAGAACCACUGUUGUAGAAUACUUUCACAUAGAGGAGAAUUAAUAGUAGUCUCAAUGAUUGUGAGGCAUCCUGUUUGGCAUGUCAGUUUGGCAAAACAAAGGAAAUAUUACUCACAUUGCAUACCAACGGCCUGACACUAUUGCAGGCAGCUGGAAUCUACUUUCUCGAAAAUCAUUCUUGUCAGUCAUCCUUUCCGUAGAGGGGAAAGUCCAGUGAAGUCCCCAGCAAAAGCCCCUCAACGCCCCCCCCCCCCCCCCCACUUUCCCCCAUGCUGUCAUUCUUCAUAGUCUGUCUUCAAUGGCAGUAGGCUUUCAAUAUCAUUUCAAAGCAUGAAUUCAGCUGAUGAAGAAUGAGCAAUGAACCAUGAAGUCAUUACACCUGACAGUGUAUAUGUACUUGGCAGUUUGUAAUGGCGGCUUUCCAUACAACGACUACCUGGAUGAAGUGCACAGGCACACAUCACCAAUGGAGCGCCUUUUUAAACCACCAGCCAGACUUCUCAGUGCUGCUGCUUGCCUGCGCUGCUUUGCAUGUUCAUUGCUGCUGCUCAGAAUUGCGCUCACCCUCCACCACCCCAGCACCACCUGUUGUUUGGAUCUGCCUCUAGAUGCUGGGGGGUUUUCUGAGAAACCAUCUACCAUCUGAUUACCUAUUCAAGAUACCUCAGUUAGAUUCCACUUGUAAUGAGAAAAGGGACAAUUAUCUGCAAGUCAAAUGGACUCUAGGAUGCAUCAUUCAGAGGGAUAAAGAUAAAAACAACUCAUUAUUUCGCAAUAUCGCUCUGUUAUUUGAAAAAUUGAAUCAUUGCCAGGACAUUUCAAAGAAAAGCUGUCAUCUAGGUGACCAUCUCCACUAUGUCAAUGUAACACAGUUCCAAGAGAAGUAUAGUGAGGCUUACGAACACCAGCAUGAAAAUGAUUACAUAUCAUGUAGCUGUCCAAGUACAAGCACAGCUGUCACAACAAAAGAAAUACUGGUGACAGGCUUUGAACCAUCUACGACUUCUGUUCAAGUAAAAACACAGAGAAAAAGUGGAUCAACAAGUAACCGAUUUCAGUCAUCUGCUACAACAGAUAUCCCAGCAACAAGGUCUAGAGACAUAACAGAAACAGUGGCAGUAACAAGAAAUAUAACAAACCUGGACAGUGGACUACUUUUGACGUCCCCAUUGCCAUUUAUUUUCAUGGGACAUAAGGCAUCAGAAAAGGCAGUGUUUUCAACAAUUGUGUUUAUGGCAAUUGUUAUUAUGUGCCUCACCUUUGCUGCUCUUUGCCUGUGGCUUAAGAACAGACGACUAAGGAAUACACAGUUACAGCAAAAUAUUGCUUUGGAACAGUGGACUAUUGAGGAAAACCAAACACAGCUUCUAUAGGUCAUUCACCUGAAGAAAAUCUCGGUGGUUCCCAAUGAUUCACACAGCUGCUAUACCAAGUUUAUCUGUGGUAAUAUGUGCAUAAUAUACAGUAUAUUGUAUAUUAUGCACAUAUUACAUAAUACUGACUGAUAUUGCAUGGUACUACAGAAUAAAUAAAGAAAAUCAUUUUUGGGUGGUUCUCUCAAUGGAUAACAGCCCACGAAGAGUAGAAAUUGCAAAGUUGUGCAAUGAAAACAAGCCAAGCUGGGCAGAGUACAAAAGAAAAUGCCAAGGUGACAGUGGGGGAAGCAUCCUGAGCCAGAGUGGAAAGGACUUUUUUAAACUGUGAGAAACCCACUGGCUGGUGUGGAAGUUGUCAGCCUGUGCAACUGAUAAGGAAAGUCCUCAGAACUGCUAGAUAUCAAAGGCUGAUACUGGACCAAAAUAAUCAGUGGCAUUCAGGUACCAGCAACUGCUAAGCGUUAUAAAAGGGUUGGCCAGGACUGUUGCAACAGUGGCCAGGACUGUUAUUUAAGAAUUAAAAAAUUCAAACAAAAACAGAAGCAACUGCCUUGCGAAUGAAAGAAAGCAAACCUCUGUGAGGAACAGCUCUCUGACAGGACACAAAAUCCACGUGUAGCUUUGGACACAUACCAUAUACUCUUCUCUGUGGAAAAGUGUGAUUGAUCUGUAGUGUUUAAUUUCACUAAUGGGGUUAAGAUUGUAAUUUUUCAACUUUACUAUUCCAUUCAUAUAUAUUACAUUGCCUUGUUGCCUUGAUUUGUUUUGUGUAAAAAGUGAAUACUUCAUACUUAUGUAACUGUAUCAUGAUUUUUCUUUUUCAUGUCAUUAUUUAUUUGUCUUCCAGACAAGAAACAUGAAUUCCAUUUUUGAAACUAGACUGGUUGCAAAUGCAUGAGCAGACAGUGAGCAUCCAUCCAACUGUCUACUAAUGCUUCACCCAGGCUCGGAUUGCACUCAUAUUGUGACAUAGGCAUGGACAAUUUUGUGAACCACCAAAGAAAAGGAGGCAAAGAAGCGGAACUAUUGAUAUUAUCUGAACCAGAUGCUAUAAUUUAUUUUUUAUUACAUACAAUAAUUUUAUUGCCUAGAUAUGACAUUGUUACAUCUCUGCAGUACCAUAUUUUCAGUGUGCUCCAUAAAGUUUGCAAGAAAUACUUUUUUUGGCUUUGGAUUAGGCUUUUAUUAAGGGUAUUUUUAUACAUUUAGGUUCACCAUGUAGAAAUAACAGCAUUUUUUGCACAUAGUCCUCCAUUUCAUGGCUUCAGUACAGGCCUGGCAGAGCAUCGCCAGAGAAGAUACUCAGCACCUGGUGAUGUCCAUGGGUCACAAACUUCAAGCAGUCAUUGUAUGCAAAGGAUAUGCGACAAAGUACUAAACAUGACUACUUUCAUUUACAUGACAUUAAUAUGUUCCAAACAUCAUGAUGCUCUGAGGGGGAAGGGCUAUGUAUAAAAUGUGCUGCCCCAAUUCAGAGCACAAAUAAUUUUAAAUUUAUCAUUUUAGAUUUAGAUUAUGGAGUACAGAGCUCACUGUGUUUGUGUGUGUGUGUGUGUGUGUGUGUGUAUCAGGUGUAUAUCUCAUCAGGUGCUUUUUUGGGCCCUUCUUUGACAUGACCACAUAGGCAUCUGCCUGUGUGGCUUAUGCUAUAAUCCAGGCUUCACCUUCUCAUACCUCGUUCUUUCUCUGGCACACGCAGAAUGGACGGGCACUGUAAUGUUCUGUGAGCUGCUCCACCAAGAAAAAGUAAAAAAACAAAACAAAAAAAAUCAAUAAUGGAGAAACCUGCUGCCACAGAGGAACAUCAGAUCGAUAGACCAGAAACCAACCAUAUGCGAUACUCACUUCUGUAUAGAAACAAAGCGCCAUUCUCAACUCAAGCUAUAAAAAUAAUCUUUUGUGCAUUUAACUUGAAAACAGGACAUUCGCCCUGCACACUCCUCCGAACAAAAGACAACGACACCAUGGAACCUGUUUCCUCUGGAAACUACUGGUAGCAAAUGAACAAAUUCAAAAAAUGUAAUCCUGCAUGUCUGGUCUGUUGUUUCAACAAGGGUUGAAAUAUGUUUGGAUUUCAGCUGAUGUACAGUAAUGCAUAUUAUAAACUUCAUUAUGAUUAAUGGAUGCUAAUUCCAUAGGAUGCACUGACAGAAUUACUUUUUGAACUGGUUGCAGGCUUUGGGUGGCAGUGUAGCAUAAUGGGUCAGGACUUGGUCUUGUAACCUAAAGGUAAUGCUGUAAGGUAAUGUAAUGGAAAGGGCUGGCCAGGUAAUGUCAAUGUGGAUAUGUUAUAUUAAUGUGGCCACUCAGUCCAUCCAAAUGAUGUAAAGGUCUGUGGAUUGAUAAAGCGGGCAUUUUUGCUUCAUAUAGACUAGUAUCAUUGUGUUUGACUGUUUAUAUUUCUAUUUUUAGUUUUGUAAGCUUAGUGUGAUUGGCAGUUAUAGCUGCUAAUUAGCUAUUGUAUUACAUCAUUUCAAAAUUAAGAUAUUGCAUAAUAUGUGUUCUAGCAGUAAUCAUACAAUUAACACACACACACACACACACACACACACACAUAUAUAUAUAUAUAUAUAUACACACACACAAACAUACACACACAGGGUUAUGGGAUGCAGUUUGUAAAAUGUUGCACAAAAUGUGUAACCCUGCUCAAUUGUCCCACAUUUUGCAUUGCAUUGUAAAAACAAUGCACUGCAAUUUUCGAAUGUUACCUUUAAACAUUUGGAGAGACAUUCAUCUAAAACAUUGUCAUCGGUUUUCUAGGAGGAAUGUUAUGCAUUGAAGCAAGAUUUAAAAAUUACAUGUUGUAUAUAAAUAUCAGUGUAAACAUUCAAUAUGUAAAUGUUAAAGGAGUACCAUGGUGAUUUUCACACUUUCUCGGUUUUAUGUGCUAUUUGCACAAGAGGCAUUGAAGAAACACAAUGAGUAAAGUAUUAAAUAUGUCCGUUCUGUAUUUUUGGAGAAAUAUGCGUUUUAAAUAAAAAAAAUAUUUUCAACCGGUUGAGAAAGUUGUCAACUUGGUGCGUCACGAAUACAGUAACCACUCCCCUUUCCACGCCCCGUAAACCCAUGGAUAACUCGAGACCCAUAGUUUGCGCCGCUGGCUUACAGGCAAGACAAUGCAAAUAUUUGACUAACGUUAGGUUCACUUAAAUUAGAGUGCCUUUUAAGGACUAUUAGAUUAUUUCUGGUUAUAUUCAUUUGGCUAGCUAGCUAACGUUAGCUAGCCAGGUAGUUUGCUUUCAUAAGGCAAUGUUAUCGAUAACGUUAGCUAGCUAGUUUGCUUUUGUGAGGACGUUAUAGUUGUGCUUUUAUCUUAACUUGGCUAGCUAGAUAGCAAAAAUUAUAAUUGGAUAUAAGUCAACGUCCUUACCUUAGCUAUCUAUCGAUACUUGAUAUACUACUAAGCUAGCUAGCUUGUGAAAAUUCAGUCUCCCAAGAAGAGCUCCCAAGAACUAUCAUGGUUGUAGCUAUGGUAACGGGGCACGGUCUGUCAAUCAUAGCUAACUGACAGUUCUCAUUACCACGCCCAGACGGUUCGGGUGAACUUUUAUAGUGGGAAAUUUAGGCUUAGAAAAAUAUGUUUUAAAGUACAUUGAAAUGACUGAAUAAUAAAAAAAUAAUGCACAUUUGUUUUGUUGUUACCUAAAGACAACUGGGAAGUGUCACGUUCAACCACCAUGUUACUCCUUUAAAUGUAGAAACUAAAUGUUUUGAACAUAAUGCAAAUUGGUGACAGCUCUUAUGUGUAACAUCAGUUUUUUGUAUGGUGGAGAGCAGUCUUGAUUGCACUCACACAAACACCUUAGCAUCAGCAGAAUCAGCCAUCACAAAAGGGCUAGUCCAAGCAAAUUAUAUGAAGUUUAGACUAUAUGUUGCUGAGGUAAGAGCUGCAACCUAGUGUAAAAUAAAGUGAACUUUAAGAUCA